GCGUCGGUAGUGCAAUGGUUAGCAUACGCUCACGGAAAGAGUGAGAUCUGGGUUCGAAUCCGGGCUGACGCA
Non-coding RNA from Parelaphostrongylus tenuis, 72 nucleotides. The record is from the annotation of a GenBank genome assembly. Lineage: Eukaryota; Metazoa; Nematoda; Chromadorea; Rhabditida; Metastrongylidae.